RNAcentral lists this ribosomal RNA (253 nucleotides) under uncultured bacterium. RNAcentral's name for it is "partial 16S ribosomal RNA". It matches the Rfam family "Bacterial small subunit ribosomal RNA", at positions 524 to 776 of the family's 1533-position model. The record is from RNAcentral.
UACGUGUGGGGCAAGCGUUGUUCGGAAUUACUGGGCAUAAAGGGUGCGUAGGCGGUUUUAUAAGUCAGGGGUGAAAGCCGAUGGCCCAACCAUCGAAUUGCCUUUGAUACUGUAGAACUUGAGUGUGUUAGGGGUGAGCGGAACGUUUGGUGUAGCGGUGAAAUGCGUAGAUAUCAAACGGAAGGCCGGAGCCGAAGGGGGCUCACUGGGACACAACUGACGCUGAGGCACGAAAGCGUGGGGAGCAAACAGG